UAAAAAUGGAAAUAAAUAUUUAUGUAUAAAUAUGGUACUCAGAGUUUAGAAAUUAAUCAGUUUUAAUCAGAAAGCAAAAAAAUGAAAAUUUGUCUCUGGCUUAUACUACUUGCUGUUUUCACCACAACUAUGGCCCAGUACAUGCCGCCGAUUUUCCCUCGAAAAGUCCUUUCUGACGAUAAACCUGCUACUGCUAAGCCCAGAGCAAGUGGUACACCAGCAGCUGGAGGAAAAGAAACUGCACCAAAAUAAAUUUCUUAAACAUUAGAAAACAGAUAAUAAAUAAACAAAUAUAACUUUA
Tribolium castaneum (red flour beetle) is the source of this 301-nucleotide long non-coding RNA. RefSeq lists it as uncharacterized. Lineage: Eukaryota; Metazoa; Arthropoda; Insecta; Coleoptera; Tenebrionidae. The record is from RefSeq and is a predicted model, not a curated record. The transcript has 2 exons.